RNAcentral lists this ribosomal RNA (486 nucleotides) under uncultured bacterium. Its description in RNAcentral is "partial 16S ribosomal RNA". It matches the Rfam family "Bacterial small subunit ribosomal RNA", at positions 30 to 507 of the family's 1533-position model. The record is from RNAcentral.
AUUGAACGCUGGCGGCAUGCCUUACACAUGCAAGUCGAACGGCAGCACGGGUGCUUGCACCUGGUGGCGAGUGGCGAACGGGUGAGUAAUACAUCGGAACAUGUCCUGUAGUGGGGGAUAGCCCGGCGAAAGCCGGAUUAAUACCGCAUACGAUCCACGGAUGAAAGCGGGGGACCUUCGGGCCUCGCGCUAUAGGGUUGGCCGAUGGCUGAUUAGCUAGUUGGUGGGGUAAAGGCCUACCAAGGCGACGAUCAGUAGCUGGUCUGAGAGGACGACCAGCCACACUGGGACUGAGACAGGGCCCAGACUCCUACGGGAGGCAGCAGUGGGGAAUUUUGGACAAUGGGCGAAAGCCUGAUCCAGCAAUGCCGCGUGUGUGAAGAAGGCCUUCGGGUUGUAAAGAACUUUUGUCCGGAAAGAAAUCCUUGGCUCUAAUACAGUCGGGGGAUGACGGUACCGGAAGAAUAAGCACCGGCUAACUACGUG